Gossypium raimondii (Peruvian cotton) is the source of this 132-nucleotide non-coding RNA. Lineage: Eukaryota; Viridiplantae; Streptophyta; Magnoliopsida; Malvales; Malvaceae. The record is from Rfam.
UGUUAAAAAUUUCAUCCAUUUAUACCAUUAAAAACUAGCUAGGCUGACGGAAUAACCAUACAGUGUAUGUGUAUCUCAUGCUAACAUAUAGGAAUCAGUUUUUUAUAGUAGAAACUAAUGGAAUUUUUAACA